GCAGUCCUGGCUCAGGGGUAGAAUUCUUGCCUUCCAUGCAGGACAUCCAGGUUCAAUUCCUGGCCAGUGCA
Molecule: transfer RNA, 71 nt
Filed under: Loxodonta africana (African savanna elephant)
Lineage: Eukaryota; Metazoa; Chordata; Mammalia; Proboscidea; Elephantidae
Rfam family: tRNA
About the family: Transfer RNA (tRNA) molecules are approximately 80 nucleotides in length. Their secondary structure includes four short double-helical elements and three loops (D, anti-codon, and T loops).
Source: Rfam by way of RNAcentral